ACACAUGCAAGUCGAACGAGCGAGAGAGAGCUUGCUUUCUCGAGCGAGUGGCGAACGGGUGAGUAACGCGUGAGGAACCUGCCUCAAAGAGGGGGACAACAGUUGGAGACGACUGCUAAUACCGCAUAAGCCCACGGUGCCGCAUGGUACAGAGGGAAAAGGAGCAAUCCGCUUUGAGAUGGCCUCGCGUCCGAUUAGCUAGUUGGUGAGGUAACGGCCCACCAAGGCGACGAUCGGUAGCCGGACUGAGAGGUUGAACGGCCACAUUGGGACUGAGACACGGCCCAGACUCCUACGGGAGGCAGCAGUGGGGAAUAUUGCACAAUGGGGGAAACCCUGAUGCAGCGACGCCGCGUGGAGGAAGAAGGUCUUCGGAUUGUAAACUCCUGUUGUUGGGGAAGAUAAUGACGGUACCCAACAAGGAAGUGACGGCUAACUACGUGCCAGCAGCCGCGGUAAAACGUAGGUCACAAGCGUUGUCCGGAAUUACUGGGUGUAAAGGGAGCGCAGGCGGGAAGACAAGUUGGAAGUGAAAUCUAUGGGCUCAACCCAUAAACUGCUUUCAAAACUGUUUUUCUUGAGUAGUGCAGAGGUAGGCGGAAUUCCCGGUGUAGCGGUGGAAUGCGUAGAUAUCGGGAGGAACACCAGUGGCGAAGGCGGCCUACUGGGCACCAACUGACGCUGAGGCUCGAAAGUGUGGGUAGCAAA
RNAcentral lists this ribosomal RNA (708 nucleotides) under uncultured bacterium. RNAcentral describes it as "bacterial SSU rRNA". It matches the Rfam family "Bacterial small subunit ribosomal RNA", at positions 51 to 772 of the family's 1533-position model. The record is from RNAcentral.